CCCUGCCCUUUGUACACACCGCCCGUCGCACCUACCGAUUGAAUGGUCCGGUGAAAUCUUUGGACCGUGACUUUGUCUUGCUUUCGGGCAAGACGCUGUUACGGGAAGUUGAUUAAACCUUACCAUUU
Molecule: ribosomal RNA, 128 nt
Filed under: uncultured eukaryote
Lineage: Eukaryota
Description: partial small subunit ribosomal RNA
Rfam family: Eukaryotic small subunit ribosomal RNA
Source: RNAcentral